UGGGUCAGCGACUUAUAUUCUGUAGCAAGGUUAACCGUAUAGGGGAGCCGAAGGGAAACCGAGUCUUAACCGGGCGUUAAGUUGCAGGGUAUAGACCCGAAACCCGGUGAUCUAGCCAUGGGCAGGUUGAAGGUUGGGUAACACUAACUGGAGGACCGAACCGACUAAUGUUGAAAAAUUAGCGGAUGACCUGUGGCUGGGGGUGAAAGGCCAAUCAAACCGGGAGAUAGCUGGUUCUCCCCGAAAGCUAUUUAGGUAGCGCCUCGUGAAUUCAUCUCCGGGGGUAGAGCACUGUUUCGGCUAGGGGGCCAUCCCGGCUUACCAACCCGAUGCAAACUGCGAAUACCGGAGAAUGUUAUCACGGGAGACACACGGCGGGUGCUAACGUCCGUCGUGAAGAGGGAAACAACCCAGACCGCCAGCUAAGGUCCCAAAGUCAUGGUUAAGUGGGAAACGAUGUGGGAAGGCCCAGACAGCCAGGAUGUUGGCUUAGAAGCAGCCAUCAUUUAAAGAAAGCGUAAUAGCUCACUGGUCGAGUCGGCCUGCGCGGAAGAUGUAACGGGGCUAAACCAU
RNAcentral lists this ribosomal RNA (573 nucleotides) under Salmonella enterica. Its description in RNAcentral is "partial 23S ribosomal RNA". It matches the Rfam family "Bacterial large subunit ribosomal RNA", at positions 616 to 1190 of the family's 2925-position model. Lineage: Bacteria; Pseudomonadati; Pseudomonadota; Gammaproteobacteria; Enterobacterales; Enterobacteriaceae. The record is from RNAcentral.